CCUACGGGGGGCUGCAGUGGGGAAUAUUGGACAAUGGGGGCAACCCUGAUCCAGCCAUGCCGCGUGUGUGAAGAAGGCCCUCGGGUUGUAAAGCACUUUCAGUGAGGAAGAACGCCUGGUGGUUAAUACCCAUCAGGAAAGACAUCACUCACAGAAGAAGCACCGGCUAACUCCGUGCCAGCAGCCGCGGUAAUACGGAGGGUGCGAGCGUUAAUCGGAAUUACUGGGCGUAAAGCGCGCGUAGGUGGCUUGAUAAGCCGGUUGUGAAAGCCCCGGGCUCAACCUGGGAACGGCAUCCGGAACUGUCAAGCUAGAGUGCAGGAGAGGAAGGUAGAAUUCCCGGUGUAGCGGUGAAAUGCGUAGAGAUCGGGAGGAAUACCAGUGGCGAAGGCGGCAUUCUGGACUGACACUGACACUGAGGUGCGAAAGCGUGGGUAGCAAACAGGAUUAGAUACCCUGGUAGUC
This 465-nucleotide ribosomal RNA is filed under the name Vreelandella stevensii. RNAcentral's name for it is "partial 16S ribosomal RNA". It matches the Rfam family "Bacterial small subunit ribosomal RNA", at positions 338 to 795 of the family's 1533-position model. Lineage: Bacteria; Pseudomonadati; Pseudomonadota; Gammaproteobacteria; Oceanospirillales; Halomonadaceae. The record is from RNAcentral.